CCGCCCGCGUAAUAAAAGUGAUGGUAGGAGGGAUCCGCAAGGAGCACCUUCGACCGAUCCGGAUCUUAUUUGUGAUGGAUUUGAGUAAGAGCAUAUAUGCUGGGACCCGAAAGAUGGUGAACUAUGCCUGAAUAGGGCGAAGCCAGGGGAAACUCUGGUGGAGGCUCGUAGCGAUUCUGACGUGCAAAUCGAUCGUCAAAUUUGGGUAUAGGGGCGAAAGACUAAUCGAACCAUCUAAUGGCUGGUUCCCGCCGAAGUUUCCCUCAGGAUAGCAGAAGCUUGCAUCAGUUUUAGGAGGUAAAGGAAAGGAUUAGAGGCCGGGGGGACGAAACGUCCUUAACCCAUUCUCAAACUUUAAAUGUGUAAGAAGCCACCGUCGCUU
This 382-nucleotide ribosomal RNA is filed under the name Papiliotrema sp. RNAcentral describes it as "partial large subunit ribosomal RNA". It matches the Rfam family "Eukaryotic large subunit ribosomal RNA", at positions 708 to 1092 of the family's 3401-position model. The record is from RNAcentral. Lineage: Eukaryota; Fungi; Basidiomycota; Tremellomycetes; Tremellales; Rhynchogastremaceae.